This is a long non-coding RNA of Oreochromis aureus, 637 nucleotides long. NCBI's taxonomy places the organism in Eukaryota, Metazoa, Chordata, Actinopteri, Cichliformes, Cichlidae. The record is from Ensembl.
CAACUUCUGAAAGACCUUCAGGAUGAGAGUGGAAGAGCCGAGACCCUCAGUGAGCUGCUGGCAUCAAUACGCAGACAAGGUGUCAGAUCUGAGAGCCUCCUGAAGGACGCUGAUAACUUGAUACAGCGCUACAGAAAACUGGAGGGCAGGAUGCUGAAUCAGGCUGAGGCCCAGAGUGUGUUGGAUGGAGAAUACAAUGUGUUUAAUACUCAGGCAGAGAGCACCAGGACCUGGAUCAGUGACCUAUCACAGCCUCUCACCACUCCAGACAGAGACACCAACAUGGAGGAGAUGAAGUCCAAAGCACAAGCUAUCCUUAGCUGCAAACCUGAGGGAGACUUUAAAGUGAGCAGCCUGAGACAACAAAGCGAAAGUCUGUGUGAGAAGGAAGGCCUGGACGAGUCCAGGAAACAAAGUGUCCAGCUGUUAGUUAGAGACACAGAGAAACAGUGGACGACAGCCGUGCAGGCUGCUCAGGAGGCUCUCAGAAAGGCAGAGACACAAGCCAUUUUAGAAAAAAACGUUGAAGCUUUCCAAACCCACAAUGAAAGUGUCCAGUCCUGGAUCAGAGACCAGGACCAGAACCUCAAGUCUAUCGGUGGUCACGCGCAAGCUGAAGAAAAGCUACAGGCUGCAC